AGAGUUUGAUCCUGGCUCAGGAUGAACGCUAGCGGCAGGCUUAAUACAUGCAAGUCGAGGGGCAGCAUGGUGUAGCAAUACACUGAUGGCGACCGGCAAACGGGUGCGGAACACGUACAGAACCUUCCUUCAAGCGGGGAAUAGCCCAGAGAAAUUUGGAUUAAUACCCCAUAGCAUAAUGGAGUGGCAUCACUUUGUUAUUAAAGAUUUAUCACUUGAAGAUGGCUGUGCGGCUGAUUAGGUAGUUGGCGGGGUAACGGCCCACCAAGCCUGCGAUCAGUAACUGGUGUGAGAGCACGACCAGUCACACGGGCACUGAGACACGGACCAGACUCCUACGGGAGGCAGCAGUGAGGAAUAUUGGACAAUGGGCGCAAGCCUGAUCCAGCCAUGCCGCGUGCAGGAUGACGGUCCUAUGGAUUGUAAACUGCUUUUAUACAGGAAGAAACCCUACUUUGCGAAGUAGCUUGACGGUACUGUAAGAAUAAGGAUCGGCUAACUCCGUGCCAGCAGCCGCGGUAAUACGGAGGAUCCAAGCGUUAUCCGGAAUCAUUGGGUUUAAAGGGUCCGUAGGCGGUUUAAUAAGUCAGUGGUGAAAUCUUGUAGCUCAACUAUAAAAUUGCCAUUGAUACUGUUAGACUUGAAUAAUUAAGAAGUAACUAGAAUAUGUAGUGUAGCGGUGAAAUGCUUAGAGAUUACAUGGAAUACCAAUUGCGAAGGCAGGUUACUAUUAAUUUAUUGACGCUGAUGGACGAAAGCGUGGGUAGCGAACAGGAUUAGAUACCCUGGUAGUCCACGCCGUAAACGAUGGAUACUAGCUGUUUGGAGCAAUCUGAGUGGCUAAGCGAAAGUGAUAAGUAUCUCACCUGGGGAGUACGUUCGCAAGAAUGAAACUCAAAGGAAUUGACGGGGGCCCGCACAAGCGGUGGAGCAUGUGGUUUAAUUCGAUGAUACGCGAGGAACCUUACCAAGGCUUAAAUGUAGAUUGACCGUUUAGGAAACUAGACUUUCGCAAGACAAUUUACAAGGUGCUGCAUGGUUGUCGUCAGCUCGUGCCGUGAGGUGUCAGGUUAAGUCCUAUAACGAGCGCAACCCCUGUUGUUAGUUGCCAGCGAGUAGUGUCGGGAACUCUAGCAAGACUGCCAGUGCAAACUGUGAGGAAGGUGGGGAUGACGUCAAAUCAUCACGGCCCUUACGCCUUGGGCUACACACGUGCUACAAUGGACGGUACAGAGAGCAGCCACUACGCAAGUAGGCGCGAAUCUACAAAACCGUUCUCAGUUCGGAUCGGAGUCUGUAACUCGACUCCGUGAAGCUGGAAUCGCUAGUAAUCGGAUAUCAGCCAUGAUCCGGUGAAUACGUUCCCGGGCCUUGUACACACCGCCCGUCAAGCCAUGGAAGCUGGGGGUGCCUGAAGUCGGUGACCGCAAGGAGCUGCCUAGGGUAAAACUGGUAACUGGGGCUAAGUCGUAACAAGGUAACC
This 1483-nucleotide ribosomal RNA is filed under the name uncultured Bacteroidota bacterium. Its description in RNAcentral is "bacterial SSU rRNA". It matches the Rfam family "Bacterial small subunit ribosomal RNA". RNAcentral also lists the same sequence under 1 other name. The record is from RNAcentral. Lineage: Bacteria; Pseudomonadati; Bacteroidota.